CCAUGGAGUAGUUCAGCAGGUAGAACACCGCCUCGACAAGACGGAGGUCGCGGGCUCGAAUCCCGCCUCCAUGGCCC
This 77-nucleotide transfer RNA is filed under the name Nocardia rhizosphaerihabitans. RNAcentral's name for it is "tRNA-Val". It matches the Rfam family "tRNA". From Rfam's summary of the family: Transfer RNA (tRNA) molecules are approximately 80 nucleotides in length. Their secondary structure includes four short double-helical elements and three loops (D, anti-codon, and T loops). Lineage: Bacteria; Bacillati; Actinomycetota; Actinomycetes; Mycobacteriales; Nocardiaceae. The record is from RNAcentral.